UGGGGAAUUUUGGACAAUGGGCGAAAGCCNNNUCCAGCCAUGCCGCGUGUCUGAAGAAGGCCUUCGGGUUGUAAAGGACUUUUGUCAGGGAGGAAAUCCCUAGCGUUAAUACCGCUGGGGGAUGACAGUACCUGAAGAAUAAGCACCGGCUAACUACGUGCCAGCAGCCGCGGUAAUACGUAGGGUGCGAGCGUUAAUCGGAAUUACUGGGCGUAAAGCGUGCGCAGGCGGUUUGAUAAGCCAGAUGUGAAAUCCCCGAGCUCAACUUGGGAACUGCGUUUGGAACUGUCAGACUANAGUGCGUCAGAGGGGGGUGGAAUUCCGCGUGUAGCAGUGAAAUGCGUAGAGAUGCGGAGGAACACCGAUGGCGAAGGCAGCCCCCUGGGAUGACACUGACGCUCAUGCACNAAAGCGUGGGGAGCAAACAGGAUUAGAUACCCUGGUAGUCCACGCCCUAAACGAUGUCAAUUAGCUGUUGGGGGUUAGAAUCCCUGGUAGCGUAGCUAACGCGUGAAAUUGACCGCCUGGGGAGUACGGCCGCAAGGUUA
Molecule: ribosomal RNA, 548 nt
Filed under: uncultured bacterium
Lineage: Bacteria
Description: bacterial SSU rRNA
Rfam family: Bacterial small subunit ribosomal RNA
Source: RNAcentral